Molecule: long non-coding RNA, 1033 nt
Organism: Daphnia pulex (common water flea)
Lineage: Eukaryota; Metazoa; Arthropoda; Branchiopoda; Diplostraca; Daphniidae
Exons: 2
Source: RefSeq, a predicted model, not a curated record
AAAAAGAAAAGAUGUAUGUGAUGAUGGUUAGCAGCCACUAACUUCAUCGAGUUAACUCCAAUUUCCGUACAACUACGCAAAAGGCUUACGACAUCCAGGCUCGUUUAAACCACUUUGAGCUCGAACAAGUGAACAACAGCCAAAAGUUCCGCUCCUCUGGCUAUUAUCCAUCGGCCAUCUCCCUGGAAAGAGGCCCAUUCGAAAUCAACUUAGCUGUCUAUACUAUUGAUGAGCAUCCAGCACCUAUGCCCAUUGCCCAACUACUACGAGUGCCAACUCUCCAGCAGCCGCGACACUUGAUUGGUACAAUCUUCGACCACCACUUAUCUAUCUGCUGCCCACUCUUCUCACUUAAGAAGAAAGAAAAGGAGCAUCAAGCAUACCUCGAUCGCAGCGAUGACUGAGUACUAACAGAGCAGUUUAAGAGCUAUACUGCUUAUUAUUUCGGCGUGUGGCGUACCGUCCAUCAUUUUUUAUGGGUGGUGGCGAUUUCUUGGUGACGACGAGGUUAUCAUGAUUUGACGAGGAUGAUAUUGCGAAGGAAUCUGUCGGCUGUCACUAGGUGGCUAAAAUAUGUCCACCAGGUAGCGCAGUGUCUCCGUGACUCAUCAUCAGCGACGAAAUUUCCGCCAUUGUCUAUUUGUUUCCAAGUCACUAAGCGGAAAUGUGUUACUUCUCACCAUGCCGUGUGUUUCUACAUUGUCCAACAAGUUAAAAAAAUAAGUGUUCUAUUCUGUUUUGGCUUUCUUAAGGCUUUAAUUACUGAAUGUGUUUUUAUGUGUUCAUUUUCAGGUAUAAUCUAUCCUUUAAUUUACACUUGGCCAAAUCAUCUGAUCGCGUGGCCUGAAAGGCUGAAACUUCUGUCAUGCUUCUGUGUAUUUCUCAUAGCCUUCUACAGGUACGGCCACUUAACUGCCACUUAACUGCCACUUAACUGCCACUUAACUGUAGAAGGCUAUGGUAUUUCUUCGAAAUUUCGUCUGUUACUAGGAAUGGCCGAAUGGCUGUACGUCUCAUCCCAUAUGGAAACAAG